GCUACUAUGGCAGGAUUAUAUUGGCCUAAUCGGUCGGUUGGCUCGGACUACACAACGACUAUCAUCUCCUUGUCAGUUGAAUGGUCAAACUGACUGGCAUGCCGGCGCACACCACGCGCGCCGAUUUGGAUUCUGCACUGGAGUUAAGCAGAUCUUCUAGGUCCUCUUGUGCUGAUGUAGGCUCCAUCACCGCCAGAAUUUUGCGUCAACACAUUUUGGCAUGCUCAAGCACUCCUAAGUUCUUUGAGCUUUAUAAAGAUCCCAAGUGCUUUCAAGAUUAAGGAUUAUUCCAUACUCUUUUCCCCAGCCAUGUCCAAUCUGAUUACGAGAAGUUUAUUCGUAUCUCGCGAUCACCCUUUGCCCCUGCACAUGUGCACUAUCUAAAUGUGUCUGUUCAUUCUUUCCCUCCCCAU
RNAcentral lists this long non-coding RNA (413 nucleotides) under Setaria viridis. RNAcentral describes it as "long non-coding RNA (SVIR_LNC009485)". Lineage: Eukaryota; Viridiplantae; Streptophyta; Magnoliopsida; Poales; Poaceae. The record is from RNAcentral.